This 402-nucleotide ribosomal RNA is filed under the name bacterium. Its description in RNAcentral is "partial 16S ribosomal RNA". It matches the Rfam family "Bacterial small subunit ribosomal RNA", at positions 355 to 776 of the family's 1533-position model. The record is from RNAcentral.
UGGGGAAUUUUGCACAAUGGGGGAAACCAUGAUGCAGCGACGCCGCGUGAUUUAGAAGGCCUUCGGGUUGUAAAAAUCUUUUUUACGGGAUGAAAAUGACAGUACCGUAAGAAUAAGGUCCGGCUAAAUACGUGCCAGCAGCCGCGGUAAUACGUAUGGACCGAGCGUUGUCCGGAAUCAUUGGGCGUAAAGGGUACGUAGGCGGCCUAGUAAGUUAGAAGUGAAAUAAUAUAGCUCAACUAUAUAAAGCUUUUAAAACUGCUAGGCUUGAGAGAUGGAAGGGAAAGUGGAAUUCCUAGUGUAGCGGUGAAAUGCGCAGAUAUUAGGAAGAAUACCGGUGGCGAAGGCGACUUUCUGGUCAUCAUCUGACGCUGAGGUACGAAAGCGUGGGUAGCAAACAGG